RNAcentral lists this ribosomal RNA (465 nucleotides) under uncultured bacterium. RNAcentral describes it as "partial 16S ribosomal RNA". It matches the Rfam family "Bacterial small subunit ribosomal RNA", at positions 28 to 507 of the family's 1533-position model. The record is from RNAcentral.
GACGAACGCUGGCGGCGUGCUUAACACAUGCAAGUCGAACGGAAAGGCCCUGCUUGCAGGGUACUCGAGUGGCGAACGGGUGAGUAACACGUGGGUGAUCUGCCCUGCACUUCGGGAUAAGCCUGGGAAACGGGGACUAAAACCGGAUAGGAGACAUUUUUAGUGUGAUGGUUGGAAAGUUUUUUCGGUGUAGGAUGAGCUCGCGGCCUAUCAGCUGGUUGGUGGGGUAAUGGCCUACCAAGGCGGCGACGGGUAGCCGGCCUGUGAGGGUGGGCGGCCACCUUGGGUCUGAGAGACGGCCCCGGCUCCUACGGGAGGCAGCUGUGGGGAAUCUUGCUCAAUGCGCGCCAGCCUGAUGCAGCGACGCCGCGUGUUGGAUGACGGCCUUCGGGUUGUAAACUCCUUUCGCUAGGGACGAAGCUUUUUGUGACGGUACCUAGAUAAGAAGCACCGGCUAACUACGUG